Molecule: ribosomal RNA, 501 nt
Filed under: Bacillus subtilis
Lineage: Bacteria; Bacillati; Bacillota; Bacilli; Caryophanales; Bacillaceae
Description: bacterial SSU rRNA
Rfam family: Bacterial small subunit ribosomal RNA
Source: RNAcentral
GAGGAGUUUGAUCCUGGCUCAGGACGAACGCUGGCGGCGUGCCUAAUACAUGCAAGUCGAGCGGACAGAUGGGAGCUUGCUCCCUGAUGUUAGCGGCGGACGGGUGAGUAACACGUGGGUAACCUGCCUGUAAGACUGGGAUAACUCCGGGAAACCGGGGCUAAUACCGGAUGGUUGUUUGAACCGCAUGGUUCAAACAUAAAAGGUGGCUUCGGCUACCACUUACAGAUGGACCCGCGGCGCAUUAGCUAGUUGGUGAGGUAACGGCUCACCAAGGCAACGAUGCGUAGCCGACCUGAGAGGGUGAUCGGCCACACUGGGACUGAGACACGGCCCAGACUCCUACGGGAGGCAGCAGUAGGGAAUCUUCCGCAAUGGACGAAAGUCUGACGGAGCAACGCCGCGUGAGUGAUGAAGGUUUUCGGAUCGUAAAGCUCUGUUGUUAGGGAAGAACAAGUACCGUUCGAAUAGGGGCGGUACCUUGACGGUACCUAACCAGAA